Molecule: long non-coding RNA, 651 nt
Organism: Pseudophryne corroboree (corroboree frog)
Lineage: Eukaryota; Metazoa; Chordata; Amphibia; Anura; Myobatrachidae
Exons: 3
Source: RefSeq, a predicted model, not a curated record
CUGCUCUGCUGCUGCUGUAGAAAGGAAAACAUGUUUUCCUACUACAGCAGCCAUCCCAAGUAUGUCCAAAGCCCCCCCUCCCGGCCGCGACCCCCCUUCACCUCCUCCAGCGGCACUUGCGGCACAGACUGUAUACUUAUGGCGGCGCAAUGGGAGGCUGCUUCACUAGCCCUAGCCUCACUGCGCCGCACACAGUGACGUCAGCACGUGACAAUGCUGCCCCAGCACCGCCGCGCACGCUCUGAAGGAAGCAGCAGCGCAGCAGCAUGGGCUGAUCAGCAUACUGUAACAGCAGCAGAAACGGGCUGCUCCGUGAAGGCAGCCUGAGAGACAGCGUGAUUGAGUAUCAUGAGGGGAGGGGAGGUGCUGGCUGUCAGCCUGGCUCCUACACUGAUAGUAAUAUCAUCUGGCAAAGAGAUUUGCAGAGUGUCGAGUGACCGGCAAAGAGAUCUGCAAAGUGUCAGUUGAAGACGACGGGAGGGGUCGCAGAGGUAGCAACGACUGGAGUAUAACAUGCAGGACAUCAUCAUUUGGCAAAGUUCUGGCAAAGAGAUUUGCAGAGUGUCGGGUGACCGGCAAAGAGAUCUGCAAAGUGUCAGUUGAAGACGACGGGAGGGGUCGCAGAGGAAUUAGUGACUGGAGAAUAGCAUG